GGGACGCGCCUCCCUGCUGCAGCCCAGCCCCGCCAGCGCCGCGUCCCCGCCGCCGCCUGCUCCCGCCGGCCGGGUCGCAGCCGGAUCAUGGAACUCGGGGACCCCCGCGAGCCCCGCGAGCCCAGGCCAGGGGCAGAGACCGCGGCGGCCCCGCUAUGGGAGGAAACCAAGACUUUCUACGACAACCUCGCGCCCAAGAAGAAACCCAAAUCGCCCAAGCCUCAGAAUGCCGUCACAAUUGCUGUGUCCUCCCGAGCCUUGUUCCGCAUGGACGAGGAGCAGCGCAUCUACACGGAGCAGGGCGUGGAGGAGUAUGUGCGCUACCAGCUGGAACAUGAGAACGAGCCCUUCAGCCCCGGGCCGGCCUUCCCCUUCGUGAAGGCUCUGGAGGCUGUGAACAGGCGGCUGCGGGAGCUGUACCCCGAUAGUGAGGACAUCUUUGACAUUGUCCUCGUGACCAACAACCACGCUCAAGUGGGUGUCCGUCUCAUCAACAGUAUCAACCACUACGACCUGUUCAUUGAGCGGUUCUGCAUGACAGGUGGGAAUAGCCCCAUCUGCUACCUCAAGGCCUAUCACACCAACCUCUACCUGUCAGCUGAUGCGGAAAAAGUGCGGGAAGCCAUUGAUGAAGGGAUUGCAGCCGCCACCAUCUUCAGCCCCAGCAGGGAUGUGGCUGUAUCCCAGAGUCAGCUGCGCGUGGCCUUUGAUGGGGAUGCUGUGCUCUUCUCCGAUGAGUCGGAGCGCAUCGUCAAGGCCCAUGGGCUGGACAGGUUCUUCGAGCAUGAGAAGGCCCACGAGAACAAACCUUUGGCUCAGGGCCCCUUGAAGGGCUUUCUAGAGGCACUGGGUAGGCUGCAGAAGAAGUUCUACUCCAAGGGCCUGCGGCUGGAGUGUCCAAUCCGCACCUACUUGGUGACGGCACGCAGCGCGGCCAGUUCUGGGGCCCGGGCUCUCAAGACCCUGCGCAGCUGGGGCCUGGAGACAGACGAAGCCCUGUUCCUUGCGGGAGCGCCCAAGGGCCCCCUCCUUGAGAAGAUCCGCCCACACAUCUUCUUCGACGACCAGAUGUUCCAUGUGGCUGGGGCUCAGGAGAUGGGCACAGUGGCCGCCCAUGUGCCUUACGGCGUGGCACAGACACCCCAGCAGGCUGCACCUGCGAAGCAGGCCCCGUCUGCACAGUAGCUGAGCCGCCAGCUCCAGGCACAGCCCCCUGUCAUAUACUUCACCAUGUCGUCCAGUGGACCCUUCUAGUUCCUCACUACUCUGUCCUACACAACUGCUCCCAUCUCCACGAGUGAGGGACUGGUGGGGAAUUAUGCGGACCGAGCCAGAAUUCUCACCAGCCCCUCUUUCGGGCAAACACUGUGCCAUGAUUCCGGCAAGGAGAGGAAGACUGCAGAGUAGCUGGGUUGCAGAGAAAGUUGAGGGAACGAGGGCGGCAGGUCAGAGGAGCCAGGGUGGGGCCUGGUCAGAGGAGCCAGGUAAGAAGGGAAGGGGCCUGGGAUGAAAACCAGCUCAGUGGGAUGCAAGGAACAUGGCUUUGAGAGAGAAGGCAUCUGGCUUCCAAGCUCCGUCCUGGCAUUAGCUGUCUGACUUCGGGUAAGUCCCUCCCUUUCAUGGCCCUCAGUUCCCCCAUCUUGUAGGUGGUUUUCAAAGUCUCCUUCAGCUCAAGAAGCUUGGUUUAAUAAGAUUGCCCUGUGAUAGGGCCGCUGCUAGUCCGUAUGGUACAUUUGUUCAACUAGAGAAGAGCACUGUCUCUAGAAUGAAUUUCAAAAAGACGGCCCUUCCUGGGGGCUGGCCCAGACCCACACUGGGGUCCUUGCCUUGCUCGGCAGCAUGUAGCCUGUUUUUCAGCCCCCACUGGCUCCUCAGGCCAAGGGCCUUUGUCAGAUGGGCAAAAUGCACAAUUGUCUGCAGCAACCCUACCUCUACUGCCACACGUUUGGAAACCACUGGACAAGAUGACCCAUCUGCUCCCUGUGAUCCUCUACUCUGAGUCAUGCACCAGGGGUCAGCUGCCAGGGCAGGGUUUGCGGAAGGAGAGAGGAGCCAAUUUAACCUGCGCGCAAGCUCUCCCUCCACCAGCAGGGGGCACUGCAAGCUCUCCCAGGGAGGAGCGGUGGUGGCAGCCUGCCCGGUGCUCCCUUUGCUUUUGCUUUCAGCCAAAUUUCCUUUUGUUCCUGCCUCCCAAACCCCUCAACUCAGCCCCCCCUCCUCCCUCAAUGACCGCAUCUUGCUGUGCUGCCAAGCAGCUACGCCAGUGGGGGAAGAGGUGGGGUUUGGGGUUCACUGUUGUGGACCCAAAUGCAGAGGAAGAAAGCUCAGGGGCUAAAGGGGGAGGUAGUCCUGCCUGCGUGGGAGGGAAGGCCCACCCCGGGUGACGUGAGAAGGUCGGCUCUGAGACAGUGACCAGCUAGAGAGCAAGGAGCUGAAGUGUGUGCACUAGCAAGAUUCUCCAGCUAUGGGACUGCGAGCGGAAGUACCGAGUUCUCUGUCACUGGGAUGCUGUGCAAGGGACUCCAGGAUGAAGUGACCUCCCCCUGCAGCGCCCCAGUGGAUCCUCCACCCUUGCAGGAGCCUCUGCAGCCCCUUUGUCACCACUUCCCGCGGAGAACUCUCACUUGUUGAUGAGUCAGCCUCCUCCUUUGCAGACGAGCCUGGCUCUCGCUAUGAAGGGAGGGUGGGGACACUGAGAACUUGUCCCUCAGGAAGACCCAGAAAGGGUGAGCAGCUGUCUGUGUGAGCGACUGAUUGCCUGGCUCCGAGAAGAAUCCCAGCGUGAGCAAGCACUCCAUGAAGCAAGCCACAGGAACCAUCAUAGGACAGGAGCCUGGAGGUCAUUUGCCAGCUUUCUGUGGAAGCAAGAACAAGUUCUUCAUGAAGAGUUUCAGUGAGGGCUUUAGCUGGUGCAGAUGUUACUGAUCAGGCAAGAGAUAAAACUCCAGCAAAAGUCAGAGCGGCAAUUGUCUUGUGCUAUGUGGGUGUGAGCGACAAACACACAUACCCUCGCGGUGGAAUUGUGCAUCACGAGAAAUCUAGGACCCUGCAGGUUUAGGAACUUACCACGGUUGCAGAAUCCACUGCAAGAAUGGCAAGUGUGGAAGUGGUCCCACCUGUAGACAUCACUGUUCCAUCAUGAUACUCUUCUCCCAUAUGCCCAGACUUGGCCUCAGAAGCCUUCUCAACCCAGCCUUCCAGGCGGCCCCUACCAGUGAGUUAGAGUUGGCAUGAAAGAUGAAACCCUAUUUUGACUUCCCUGUUGGUGUUGGGCAUUGCUUUCCAGAGGGCAUUCAAGGCCCUGAAUGUUCAUUCUCUGAUGCCGUGGUACAACUCAGGACACCGGGGUCUCACCCCACUAGGGCAGAACACAAAGAGAAGGGGGGAUGGCAUCCUGGGGCUGGUGGCUUCCCUGGAUCCCGUACCUGGGAAACCACUGGGUUUCACCAUUUUGAGGCAAAGUACAAUACCCCGUCCCGCCAGAAGAUGGCACUACAGGCCAGAGUUGGUGGUUUUAUUCAGGGGUUGAUUUUUCUCUCCUGGGUUAGUAGGUGCUGUGCUAGAUUCCUGCAGGAAAGGACUGAAAAUUUCCUGUGUGACAAGCUGAUUGCUCUUACCAGCAACCACUGUGAUUGUGUGUUUGGACACAUUCAUCUGAGUGUGUACAACAGGAUAAAAACUGCAUGUAUGUUUGUUUAUGUGAGCGUGUAAUGGGUCAGAUAUAUCUGCUGACAACUGUGUGUGUGUGUGUGUGUGUGUGUGUGUGUGUGUGUGGACAGUGGACAGGAUGGUUAUCUCUGUUAACUAAGGAUCCUGGGCCCCCAUACUAUGGCCAGUCCUGUUUCCUCGGACUGCUUCUGGCCAUUUCCAUCAUCUCAUGGGCAUUUGCACAUGUGCAGCAUGGGGGCCACUUAUCUUUCUUGCCAGCUUCCAGACUCUGGCCAACAAGAUCUUGACUUAUAAUCCUCUACCUCCCAGUCCUACACCCUGCAGUCUUGGGAAAGAAGUGGUUGAAUCUGUGCUAGGACACCCCUUUGGACUGCAUUUGCCUCACCAUUUCCACUUAUUUCUUUUCUCCCCCUAAUAGUCCCAGGGUUAACACGUACAGUUGGGCAGAUUGUAUACUGCACGAAUCCAGAUGGUGUCAUUCACACUAUGACAUGAGUGGAGCUUUCUUAACACCUGCAAAACCUGCCAACCUCACGCAGCUGUCCUGGUCAUCUCAUGGUCAUGGCCAGAAAAGCUACCUUCUUCCCUGCUCCCCUGGCCCAGCCCGAUCUAGGCUGGGAUUCCUUUCUCUGCUUGGGUGUUCUAGUCUGGCCCAGAAACGACUAACUCUUGGCCUUGAUCAGGAAGUAUCUCCCCAAAGCCUUUGGGAUUGAAUUGAUGAAAGUGAAAUAUGGCUGGCAACUUUUCAGUUAUUCACCUUUUUAGGAUUAGAGGUCCCUGUAAGACAAAUGAAAGUUCUACAGACUGGGGUUACUGCCUCCCAUACUCCUGGAUUGUGAGUGAAAAUGCCUCCGUGGGCCCACUGUUAAGAUGGGUCCACCAUGGAAUUAGGAUAAAGGCCUCAAGGCUAAGCUUGUAGCUUCCACCAGGUAGAAAAUCAUGAGGUCACCACGGACUGGGUGUCUGGGCCUGGUCACAAGGGCCUCCACGGACCAGGCAGGAAACAUAAAUGAGAGAAGAGAGGCAGAGUCUUUAGUGAAAGGGAGCGUGCAUAUGCUGUUGUCUGACACGGUUUCUGCCACAUGGGAAUAUGUGCUGGUGUGGCCAGAUACCCCACCCCGUUUUUCAAGAGAAGCUAAAAAUCUGGACUUUUAAAUGUUGGCAACUCUUUUGAAUUUGGAAACCACUGCACAAGCCAAACAAAACACAUCCUGUAGGCUCAAGCCAGCCCUGGAGUCGCCUGUCUGCACCUUCUGGCCCAGGCCCAGUGAACUGGGUUCUUCAGAACCGACUAACUGAGCAUGUAAGGGUAUUUCACUCAGGCUCCCAGAGUUUAGGAUCUUUAAGAGACCUCAGAGAUAACCUAGUUCAUCCCUGUGUGUUUUAAACUGUGUGCAUAUCAAGUACUUUAUUAGCAUGUGUAUCUUUAGCUUCUGGUUUCUACUUAAAAAGCAUCUCAGUCCCCUUCCCCCCCCUCAAUAUAGAACAAGAUUUAAAGUGAAGCCUUAUACAUAGUGUGCUUGUAUCUACCUGACUGAAGCCCUAUUUAUAUCUUUAUAGGUCUAUUUAUAUCUUUGGCAAACAUGGGCUGCCCUGGUCUUCCUUACAACCUAACCUCCUUGGGUUGUUUUUUAUGGUAAAUCUCCUAAGUGCCUCCUUAAACGGUUGGAGCAUGCGCUUCGUUAUCUAUGUGAGUUCCCUUGUCUGAGGAGGGGGUGAGACAGCUCAUACAUUUUCAGCUCAGCCCCUCUAUGGUCUGCCACCAGCCCUCCCUGGGCCCCAGCUCUGUCGGGCUCACAGCAUUUACCCAGUCACGUGAUACAGGGUGCUGUGUGCUUGUCAGUGUGGAUCCCUCUCAUUCCUCAUGCUGGUCCUAUACCUGAAUCUUACAACAUGAGCUUCUGCCUCAUAAAAGCCAUUCAAAUAAAUAGAUGACUUUUAAAAUAAA
Acinonyx jubatus (cheetah) is the source of this 5617-nucleotide RNA transcript. It is a transcript of the gene named 5'-nucleotidase, cytosolic IA, with no coding region annotated. The record is from RefSeq and is a predicted model, not a curated record. Lineage: Eukaryota; Metazoa; Chordata; Mammalia; Carnivora; Felidae. The transcript has 7 exons.